AGUACGGCCGCAAGGCUAAAACUCAAAGGAAUUGACGGGGGCCCGCACAAGCGGCGGAGCAUGCGGAUUAAUUCGAUGCAACGCGAAGAACCUUACCAAGGCUUGACAUAUAGAGGAAAAGUGUAGAAAUACACUCCCCGCAAGGUCUCUAUACAGGUGGUGCAUGGUUGUCGUCAGCUCGUGUCGUGAGAUGUUGGGUUAAGUCCCGCAACGAGCGCAACCCUCGUCCUAUGUUGCCAGCACGUAAUGGUGGGAACUCAUGGGAUACUGCCGGGGUCAACUCGGAGGAAGGUGGGGAUGACGUCAAAUCAUCAUGCCCCUUAUGUCUUGGGCUUCACGCAUGCUACAAUGGCCGGUACAGAGGGCAGCAAUACCGCAAGGUGGAGCGAAUCCCAAAAAGCCGGUCUCAGUUCGGAUUGAGGUCUGCAACUCGACCUCAUGAAGUUGGAGUCGCUAGUAAUCGUGGAUCAGCAACGCCACGGUGAAUACGUUCCCGGGCCUUGUACACACCGCCCGUCAAGUCAUGAAAGUCGGUAACACCCGAAGCCGGUGGCCCAACCGCAAGGAGGGAGCUGUCGAAGGUGGGAUCGGUGAUUAGGACUAAGUCGUAACAAGGUAACCAAGGGCGAA
This 630-nucleotide ribosomal RNA is filed under the name uncultured bacterium. RNAcentral describes it as "bacterial SSU rRNA". It matches the Rfam family "Bacterial small subunit ribosomal RNA", at positions 879 to 1510 of the family's 1533-position model. The record is from RNAcentral.